UACAGAGGGUGCGAGCGUUAAUCGGAAUUACUGGGCGUAAAGGGUGCGUAGGUGGUGAUAUAAGUUAGGUGUGAAAGUCCUGGGCUUAACCUGGGGAUUGCGCUUAAUACUGUGUGACUAGAGUACUGUAGAGGAAGGUGGAAUUUCCGGUGUAGUGGUGAAAUACGUAGAUAUCGGAAGGAACAUCAGUGGCGAAGGCGACUUUCUGGACAGAUACUGACACUGAGGCACGAAAGCAUGGGGAGCAAACAGG
This 253-nucleotide ribosomal RNA is filed under the name uncultured bacterium. RNAcentral describes it as "partial 16S ribosomal RNA". It matches the Rfam family "Bacterial small subunit ribosomal RNA", at positions 524 to 776 of the family's 1533-position model. The record is from RNAcentral.